This is a long non-coding RNA of Triticum aestivum (bread wheat), 203 nucleotides long. RefSeq lists it as uncharacterized. Lineage: Eukaryota; Viridiplantae; Streptophyta; Magnoliopsida; Poales; Poaceae. The transcript is spliced from 3 exons. The record is from RefSeq and is a predicted model, not a curated record.
GAGGAGUCAUUUGGAGUCAUUUAGAGCUUGAGGAGUAGGAUUUGCGUAGCGAAGUGAACUACGAAGUUGAAGAUCAAGGUAAAAUAAUUCAUCUUAGUAGCAAAAAAGGAGGAGAUGACGUGAUUGAAGAAAUUGUGUUUCCAUCUUCGCUGUCCCUUUUGAGGUUGACUCCAUUCAUAUAGUACUGGUGACGGAAAUUUAUU